Molecule: RNA transcript, 3158 nt
Organism: Diospyros lotus (date-plum)
Lineage: Eukaryota; Viridiplantae; Streptophyta; Magnoliopsida; Ericales; Ebenaceae
Gene name: pentatricopeptide repeat-containing protein At2g13600-like
Exons: 3
Source: RefSeq, a predicted model, not a curated record
AAAAACUAGAGAUAACUGAGCUGAGAAUUUUGGCCAAAUUGUAUGGUGAAUGGUCUUUUUAUGAUUGUUGAAGCAAGGGCAAGGGCACGAGCAAAAGAAAGAUACUACCUAAUUUGGUUCAACUAUAUAUAUCAUUAUUCAAAGCAAAAUGGUCAGACCAUUCAACCUGAUAAUUUGGCUGUCCAACUUAAAAUGUUUAGAAGAGAUUAGACGAGAGGUACCGACAAGGCUUAGCUAAAAUGCUAGUUGAGGUCUCUCUCCCUCUUUGUCAGACCCAAGUCCGUUAAAAUUUCCUACUGGUGCGGCAACCCUACUAUUACCAUCUUCUUCUAAGAAUCGAAUUACCAUCUUUUUUUUUUUAAUUUUCUUUUUAUAUAAAAUGAAAAUCUGACUCGGUUUUCCAUCUUCCCUCUUUUGCGAGCUCUUCUGGAACCUCUUCGUCAAGGCUUCGUUUUGGAAAAAACUUCCCGAUAUAACCGUACGACCAACUUCCUUCAUUAUUUCUGUAACACAAUAUUCUUUGUGUCUUCUGGACUCGGGUUGAAUCCUUUGUUUCUUUUGCUGAAGGCAACCGGGCAUGUCCCAGAAUGCUAAAGAAUCACAUUUGCCUCCGUAAGGAGAUACGGGGCAGGAUCUGUAGGAAGAGAUAUUUUUCUAAUGUGGCAUAUCACAUGUUCGAUGAAAUUCCUCGAGGAGUUUAUGCUAGGGAAGCAGCUAAGCAACACAUGGAUAGUCUCGGAAAGAAGCCCACAAAGUACACUUUUUGUUCUGCCCUGAACUCUUGUGCGAAGACAUCAAAUUGGUACUUGGGUUUGCAGAUUCAUGCCCAAGUAAUUCAGACAGGGCACGAGGAAAAUUUGUUUAUAAGCAGUGCGCUCGUUGAUGUUUAUGCCAAGUGUGGAGAAUUGGCAGAUGCAUGGAGGGUGUUUGAUAGCAUGAAGAUGCACGAUCAAGUAUCAUGGACCUCAAUCAUAGCUGGAUAUUCACAAAAUGGGGAUGGUAGACAAGCCAUUUUAUUAUUUAAAGAAAUGUUGCUUUCCCAAAUUAGACCUAAUGCUGUUACUUAUGUUGGUGUUAUUAGCGCAUGCAUUGGGCUGGAAUUGGCAUUUGAAUGUUGUAUCUCACUUCAUGCGCAUGUAGUUAAACUUGGCACUGAUCGUAACAGUUUCGUGGUCAGUUCUUUAAUAGAUUGUUACUCCAAAUGUGGGAGAGUUGAGCAAGCUGUAUUGCUAUUUGAUGCAAGGGCUGAAAAGGAUAUUGUCCUUCUCAAUUCUAUGAUCUCAGGAUAUUCUCAGAACCUAUUUGGCGAAGAAGCCCUAAAACUGUUUAUUCAAAUGCAGAAAUACAGUAUAAGUCCAACGGAUCAUACUUUAACCAGCAUUCUGAAUGCUUGUGGGUGCUUAGCUGUCCUCCAGCAAGGAAGACAGUUUCAUGCUUUGGUAAUAAAAAUGGGCUCGACUUGCAAUGUGUUUGUUGCGUGUUCAUUAAUAGACAUGUACUCCAAAUGCGGUAGCAUUGACGAAGCCCGUUGUGUUUUUGAUCAAGCGGUUAAGAAGAACAGUGUCUUGUGGACUUCAAUGAUAUCGGGGUAUACUCAAUGCGGAAGAGGUUCCUGUGGGUUGGAGCUUUUUGAUUAUUUGGUGACUAAAGAAGGACUCAUGCCUGACCAUGUUUGUUUGACGGCUGUCUUGAGUGCCUGCAAUCAUGCUGGAUUUCUUGACAGAGGGAUUGAUUAUUUCAAUAGAAUGAGAAGAGAUUAUGGUCUGAUUCCUGACCUAGACCAAUAUGCUUGUGUGAUUGACCUCUAUGCAAGGCAGGGGCAUCUUAAAAAAGCCAAGGGGUUGAUGGAGGAAAUGCCCUUUCGUCCAAACUCUGUAAUUUGGAGUUCGUUCUUGCAUUCUUGCAAAGUGUACGGUGAAAUAGAACUUGGGAAGCAAGCUGCAUUACAGCUAUUUAAGAUGGAACCGCAGAAUGCUGUUCCAUACAUAACACUGGCUAGUAUUUAUGCAGGAGCAGGUUUAUGGAGUGAAGUGGCUAAGACUAGGAAAUUGUUGAAUUUGAAAGAAAUGAAGAAAAAUACAGGAUGGAGUUGGGUUGAGAUAGGAAAGGAGGUUCAUUUGUUCUCCGUGGGUGAUAUAUCUCACCCUCAAUCACCAGAAAUCUAUGUGGAGCUGGAAAAGCUGAACUCGGAAAUGAGGGAGGUUGGGUGUAUAUUAGAGCGUGGAGAGAACGUUGACACUGAGUGUUUAUUAGAAGAGAAGAGAAACUUGGAGCAAUUUUAUCAGUGAGCAAGAAAGAUCUUGGUUGUUGAAUUCAACAGAAGCACAUUCAGGACUUAGACGCUUCACCAAAAGAACAACUCAUCAUCCAAUUUUGUUUGCUUAGACCCGUUGCUUAAUUUUGGAAUAAUGGACUUGGAAUGUUUGGAUCCACUAUUCAAGUUUGACCAACUUGGACCGGUGACAAUAUACCGUUUGGUCUGAAAUUAGGUGAUCCUAAUACAUCUCAGGCAAGACUUGGUUGAUCAUGCUUGCUUAUGCCAGCACUUGAGUUGUUAACUUCUUAUAUGAGUUGAUUUGGGUAUGCAUCUUUCGCAAAUUUAUUUAUCUCAGGUAUUUAAUAUAUAUACAUUUUUUUUUAUAACUAAUAUAUAUUUAUAUUAGACUUGUUGAAAAUCAUUUCAAAUCAUAUUAUGGAAAAUUCAUAAAAUGGGAAAUUAGUCUUCUGUCAUAUGCCAUGUCUAUUGUUUAUGACCAUAUGUCCAUGGGGCAAGUUUUGUCUAUAUUUGCUUUGGUUAAGGUGCCUUUUUUUUUUUGGUUUUGGAUUUGUUUGGUUAGAAUGUUUUGUUGCUAGGGGAUAAACCUUGAUGUGUUUGUGCCUCUGUUCGUAUGUCUUGGUUAAUAGAUAAAAAUAUGUGAGCAUAUGGAUAGCGGUAGUCACAGACUUACAAUCUAAUGUUGUCCGCAGAGUUAAAAGAACAGUUACUAGAUGUAACCAAUACAAUAUCUAAAUUUGAAAGAGGAAGCAAUUACAACCAAAUGGUGGCAAUUACCUAGGAAAGCCUCCACAACCUGUGACAUAGAGAAGUUGGUAGCCUAAUUUCAUUCGUUCAAACCAUUCAAUUAGUUUGCUUAGUUUUAUCUCUUGUUUGGUGCUUG